GCAUAUCAAUAAGCGGGGGGA
RNAcentral lists this ribosomal RNA (21 nucleotides) under Glomus sp. 025. RNAcentral's name for it is "partial 28S ribosomal RNA". The record is from RNAcentral. Lineage: Eukaryota; Fungi; Glomeromycota; Glomeromycetes; Glomerales; Glomeraceae.